Molecule: non-coding RNA, 218 nt
Filed under: Exiguobacterium artemiae
Lineage: Bacteria; Bacillati; Bacillota; Bacilli; Caryophanales
Description: Exiguobacterium sibiricum T-box sequence
Rfam family: T-box leader
About the family: Uncharged tRNA acts as the effector for transcription antitermination of genes in the T-box leader family.
Source: RNAcentral
CGCAAAACGUUGAUGGAAGAUAAGUAAAUCGUAGUUUUCAUGACCAGAGAGAGAUGGAAUUGCUGGAACCAUCUUCAUGACGAUUCGAUUGAAGCUCCUUCCGGAGUCGAGUGCAAACACUUGCGGGUAAUCUCCGUUAACGGAUUUUUCGAGGUAAAGGGAGCAAUUGUCUUUACGAACGAGGGUGGUACCACGAGAGCGAUGCUUUCGUCCCUUUU